RNAcentral lists this ribosomal RNA (465 nucleotides) under uncultured bacterium. Its description in RNAcentral is "partial 16S ribosomal RNA". It matches the Rfam family "Bacterial small subunit ribosomal RNA", at positions 28 to 507 of the family's 1533-position model. The record is from RNAcentral.
GACGAACGCUGGCGGCGUGCUUAACACAUGCAAGUCGAACGGAAAGGCCCUGCUUGCAGGGUACUCGAGUGGCGAACGGGUGAGUAACACGUGGGUGAUCUGCCCUGCACUUCGGGAUAAGCCUGGGAAACUGGGUCUAAUACCGGAUAGGAGCCAUUUUUAGUGUGAUGGUUGGAAAGUUUUUUCGGUGUAGGAUGAGCUCGCGGCCUAUCAGCUUGUUGGUGGGGUAAUGGCCUACCAAGGCGGCGACGGGUAGCCGGCCUGAGAGGGUGGACGGCCACAUUGGGACUGAGAUACGGCCCAGACUCCUACGGGUGGCAGCAGUGGGGAAUAUUGCACAAUGGGCGCAAGCCUGAUGCAGCGACUCCGCGUGGGGGAUGACGGCCUUCGGGUUGUAAACUCCUUUCGCUAGGGACGAAGCUUUUUGUGACGGUACCUAGAUAAGAAGCACCGGCUAACUACGUG